CAGAAUACUUACCAGAGAUUCUAUUUUAGGUUUGACCUAGUUUUGUUAGCAGCCUGAUCCAUCAGGAGUAUUCAUGGUAAUUGGCUGGGUACCUAUGAAAAUCAACAAGGGUUUUCUUCAGAUAUCCUCAAAGAUCUACAGAUAAAGUGUUUACUGAGCAUGAUGGAGCCAAAAAUCCCUCACCAGAGACAUCAGGACCACAUACUCGAGUA
This 212-nucleotide long non-coding RNA is filed under the name Rattus norvegicus (Norway rat). Its description in RNAcentral is "long non-coding RNA NONRATT032337". The record is from RNAcentral. Lineage: Eukaryota; Metazoa; Chordata; Mammalia; Rodentia; Muridae.